GUGAACACUUGCCCGCCAAACAACUAAGAGUUAUACUUAAAGCUGAAAAGACUUGACGGUACUUCACCACAAUCUAGAGGAGCCUGUCUCCUACCCGCUAAUCCACGAUUAAUCUCACCCUUUCUCGCCCAACAGUCUAUAUACCGCCGUCGCCAGCUUACCUUGUAAAAGAAAUAAAGUGAGCCAAACAGUACUACACUAAAACGACAGGUCGAGGUGUAACCAAUGAAAGGGGCUAAGAUGGGCUACAUUCUCCAACCGAGAAUACGAACAGCACUAUGAAACUAGUGCCCGAAGGCGGAUUUAGCAGUGAGAUGAGAAUCAAACACGUAACUGUACUCAAC
Molecule: ribosomal RNA, 344 nt
Filed under: Emydocephalus ijimae
Lineage: Eukaryota; Metazoa; Chordata; Lepidosauria; Squamata; Elapidae
Description: partial 12S rRNA
Source: RNAcentral